RNAcentral lists this ribosomal RNA (442 nucleotides) under uncultured bacterium. Its description in RNAcentral is "partial 16S ribosomal RNA". It matches the Rfam family "Bacterial small subunit ribosomal RNA", at positions 338 to 795 of the family's 1533-position model. The record is from RNAcentral.
CCUACGGGUGGCAGCAGUAGGGAAUCUUUCACAAUGGGCGAAAGCCUGAUGGAGCAACGCCGCGUGCAGGAUGAAGGCCUUCGGGUUGUAAACUGCUUUUAUAAGCGAGAAAUAUGAGGGUAACUUAUGAAUAAGGAUCGGCUAACUACGUGCCAGCAGCCGCGGUCAUACGUAGGAUCCGAGCAUUAUCCUGAUUGACUGGGUGUAAAGAGUUGCGUGGGUGGCAUAAUAAGUAGCUAGUGAAAUCUGGUGGCUCAACCAUUCAGACUAUUAGCUAAACUGUUAAGCUCGAGACCGUUAGGGGUAACUGGAAUUUCUAGUGUAGGAGUGAAAUCCGUAGAUAUUAGAAGGAACACCAAUAGCGUAGGCAGGUUGCUGGGACGGUUCUGACACUAAGGCACGAAAGCGUAGGGAGCAAACGGGAUUAGAUACCCCAGUAGUC